This 639-nucleotide ribosomal RNA is filed under the name uncultured bacterium. RNAcentral describes it as "bacterial SSU rRNA". The stretch from base 1 to 539 matches the Rfam family "Bacterial small subunit ribosomal RNA", at positions 338 to 873 of the family's 1533-position model. The record is from RNAcentral.
CCUACGGGAGGCAGCAGUAAGGAAUAUUGGUCAAUGGGCGCAAGCCUGAACCAGCCAUGCCGCGUGCAGGAUGACGGCCCUCUGGGUUGUAAACUGCUUUUAUACGGGAAGAACAGCAUCUACGUGUAGGUGUUUGACGGUACUGUAAGAAUAAGGACCGGCUAACUUCGUGCCAGCAGCCGCGGUAAUACGAAGGGUCCAAGCGUUAUCCGGAUUUAUUGGGUUUAAAGGGUGCGUAGGCGGCUUUUUAAGUCAGUGGUGAAAGCCUGAUGCUCAACAUCAGAACUGCCAUUGAUACUGAAGAGCUUGAGUACAGUUGAGGUUGGCGGAAUGUGUCAUGUAGCGGUGAAAUGCUUAGAUAUGACACAGAACACCGAUUGCGAAGGCAGCUAGCUAAGCUGUUACUGACGCUGAUGCACGAAAGCGUGGGGAGCAAACAGGAUUAGAUACCCUGGUAGUCCACGCCCUAAACGUUGAUAACUCGUUGUUAGCGAUAUACUGUUAGUCGACCGACGACGAACGACGAUUAAGUUAUUACCUACCGUACGGAAGGUACGGUACGCGAGAGUAGUAACGUACGAAAGAAAGUUAGUACGGACGUAGAGACGUUAGCGACGGACGACGACGAGGGGAGGUAGG